AUUGCUUCUUGGCCUUUUGGCUAAGAUCAAGUGUAGUAUCUGUUCUUAUCAGGGAAUAUUUGUCUACCAGUAUCUGCCUAACACACUAAUUACAGUUCUCUUAGGAGCAUAGCCAGGUAGAGUUGCUGGAUUGUAUGGUAAUUCUAUUUCUCAUUUUUGGAAGGAACCAUCAUAUUA
Molecule: small nuclear RNA, 177 nt
Filed under: Cavia porcellus (domestic guinea pig)
Lineage: Eukaryota; Metazoa; Chordata; Mammalia; Rodentia; Caviidae
Description: U2 spliceosomal RNA
Rfam family: U2 spliceosomal RNA
About the family: U2 is a small nuclear RNA (snRNA) component of the spliceosome (involved in pre-mRNA splicing).
Source: Rfam by way of RNAcentral